GCAUGUGUGUCAGUGUCCUCUGAGUAUACGCACUGCGUGGCCGUGCUGGAGUCGGCGGAAGCCAGAAGAGGGUGUCGGAUCCUUUGGAGUUAGUUACAGGAGUCAGUGAGCUGGGAUCAGAGGUCGGGUCUCAGUGGUUGAGCAGCAAGCUCUCCUUACAGAGCCAUCUCUGCAGACCUGGUUCCUUCAUUGUGACCUUCCUGAAUGAUAUUAACUCCCCGAUCACACGUUGUACGUCACACCAUGAAUAUAGGCUGCCUCUCACAGAUGAUGUACUGCAAACCCUGGUAACAUCAGUUCCAUCUCUCGACUGGCGACCUGCCGUGCGGCAGCUUCAUCGCCUCCCCCCAUUUCGUGGGGGGAAAAAAUAGACUCCAAGUGUCACUGUCACCACUCCACGGCAGGGGCUCUUGCGGCACAGAGACCCU
Molecule: long non-coding RNA, 428 nt
Filed under: Rattus norvegicus (Norway rat)
Lineage: Eukaryota; Metazoa; Chordata; Mammalia; Rodentia; Muridae
Description: long non-coding RNA NONRATT032285
Source: RNAcentral